GAGAUCCUAUCGUGUUUGAACUAUUCAAGAGACCAUUUAAAUGGUAAAACCGGAAAAUUUGCAGAUUCAGCGAGCGAAUUAGCUUAUGAUGAGUUCAUAAAGAGAAAGGCAGAAUUAAGUUUUGAGAGAGGCUCUCUAAGUGUGCAAUCUAAUCAGGAAAAAUUUAAUAUAUAGUUAGAGGUUAUAGGUGGUAAGAGCAAGAAGAGCUGCAUCUAUGGAUUUGGAUCUUAGGCAGAUGAUGAUAUUUGUGCUCCUCAAGGAUCUUCUCCUUCCAUUAAUAGCACCGGCAUAAAUCCUAAUGUUGAAACUGAAUUGCGCACGAGGAUAACAGAGCUUACACAGGAGAAUUAACAAGUUAAACAAGAGCAUGAAGAGAUGAAACAAAAUUACAGCAAAAUCAUGUCUGCAUUGGAGGAAAUGGGAAUUAGAUUAUUUGAGCCAUCUAGCAGCAAUAUAAAGUUAGAAAAUGACAGUUAAGGGUCAUUAUUAUUAGACAGUUUGGGUUAUUAUGUAUGUUUUUUAGUUGACAUUUGACAUUUUAUGUAUCCAGGAUCUAUGAAAGACUAUAUAUUUUUUAAUUACAAUACUUUUGAUUUUCAACAAA
This is a long non-coding RNA of Neltuma alba, 604 nucleotides long. RefSeq lists it as uncharacterized. The record is from RefSeq and is a predicted model, not a curated record. The transcript is spliced from 2 exons. NCBI's taxonomy places the organism in Eukaryota, Viridiplantae, Streptophyta, Magnoliopsida, Fabales, Fabaceae.